UUAAUUUUUCUUUUUCUCCCAAUUUUUUUUCUCGCUUCUGGGUUUUCGCAUGAAGAAUGCUUCAAUUCGACGACUGCUGAGGAGAUUCACGUUGAGUAAUCUUAUGAUUAGGACGAAACCAUUACAAUCGACUGGGCUUCUUCUUCCUCGUGGUGAUUUGAUCUGUUCGGUUAAUUCAGGCACAAGACUAUUUCAAUCGGCUAGGAUUCUUCUCCAUUGUGAUUAUUUGGUAAUUAAGAUCUAGGGUUUGUUUGUUCUGUUUGGUUUGAUUCGGCACGAAACUAUUUUAAUCGGCGGCUUGGUUUCUUCUUCCUCCUCAUGGUUUUGAGACCGCAAGUGGAGGAGUCAAGAUGAGAGAUGAGCACUAAGGUACCAGUUGUUCCUACUCCUUUUCUUAGUUUGUGAGCACUAAGGUAAAUUCCUUUUUUUUUUUGUGUUUUCAAGUUUUUGAGGACUGAAAUCAAAUGGGGUACAAUUGAUCAGUCCACUUCUGUUAGGAUUUAUUGCUUUAUUUUAUUUAAGCAAUUGACUUUUUUAUCAUUGUGAUUUUAGAAUCAAGAUUUUUGUUUUUGUUUUUGUGUACUUGAUCCAACAACAAAAAAAUUAUUCACUUUAAUAAGAAUCCAGA
Long non-coding RNA from Camelina sativa (false flax), 628 nucleotides. RefSeq lists it as uncharacterized. NCBI's taxonomy places the organism in Eukaryota, Viridiplantae, Streptophyta, Magnoliopsida, Brassicales, Brassicaceae. The record is from RefSeq and is a predicted model, not a curated record.